AUGGCAAUGAUGAUUAUUUCUCCAAAUAAUGGAGGUUGAAAUAACUUAGCAAACUAUAUCUCUGUAUUACACAAAGAUACCAAACUAAUAUGAUCCAU
This is a small nucleolar RNA of Pyrus x bretschneideri (Chinese white pear), 98 nucleotides long. RefSeq annotates it as small nucleolar RNA Z103. The record is from RefSeq and is a predicted model, not a curated record. The transcript has a single exon. Lineage: Eukaryota; Viridiplantae; Streptophyta; Magnoliopsida; Rosales; Rosaceae.